UGGGGAAUUUGGACAAUGGGCGAAAGCCUGAUCCAGCAAUGCCGCGUGUGUGAAGAAGGCCUUCGGGUUGUAAAGCACUUUUGUCCGGAAAGAAAUCCUUGGCUCUAAUACAGUCGGGGGAUGACGGUACCGGAAGAAUAAGCACCGGCUAACUACGUGCCAGCAGCCGCGGUAAUACGUAGGGUGCAAGCGUUAAUCGGAAUUACUGGGCGUAAAGCGUGCGCAGGCGGUUUGCUAAGACCGAUGUGAAAUCCCCGGGCUCAACCUGGGAACUGCAUUGGUGACUGGCAGGCUAGAGUAUGGCAGAGGGGGGUAGAAUUCCACGUGUAGCAGUGAAAUGCGUAGAGAUGUGGAGGAAUACCGAUGGCGAAGGCAGCCCCCUGGGGCCAAUACUGACGCUCAUGCACGAAAGCGUGGGGAGCAAACAGGAUUAGAUACCCUGGUAGUCCACGCCCUAAACGAUGUCAACU
This 470-nucleotide ribosomal RNA is filed under the name uncultured bacterium. RNAcentral's name for it is "partial 16S ribosomal RNA". It matches the Rfam family "Bacterial small subunit ribosomal RNA", at positions 356 to 817 of the family's 1533-position model. The record is from RNAcentral.